CCUCGUCAAUCUGCUGGGGGCAGAUGAAGUGGAUGUGGCAAUCAAUGCCGCCGGCCGUGAGGAUGAGCCCCUCCCCCGCCACCACUUCGGUGGUCACGCCCACCGUCAUGCCCGGCGUCACGCCCGGCAUAAUAUGCGGGUUGCCGGCCUUCCCAAUACCCGCAAUGCGCCCAUUCUUCACCCCGAUGUCGGCCUUGUAGAUACCGGUGUAGUCGAGCACGAGGGCGUUGGUGAUGAGCAGGUCCAGGGCCUCCGCCUGGGAAAUGCCGGCGGCCUGGCCCAUGCCGUCGCGCAG
This 295-nucleotide small RNA is filed under the name Hymenobacter swuensis DY53. Its description in RNAcentral is "5' ureB small RNA". It matches the Rfam family "5' ureB small RNA". The record is from Rfam by way of RNAcentral. Lineage: Bacteria; Pseudomonadati; Bacteroidota; Cytophagia; Cytophagales; Hymenobacteraceae.